CCUACGGGAGGCAGCAGUGGGGAAUAUUGCACAAUGGGGGGAACCCUGAUGCAGCGACGCCGCGUGAGCGAUGAAGUAUUUCGGUAUGUAAAGCUCUAUCAGCAGGGAAGAAAAUGACGGUACCUGACUAAGAAGCCCCGGCUAACUACGUGCCAGCAGCCGCGGUAAUACGUAGGGGGCAAGCGUUAUCCGGAUUGACUGGGUGUAAAGGGAGCGUAGACGGCUGUGCAAGUCUGGUGUGAAAGGUAUGGGCUCAACCUGGGGCUUGCUUUUGAAACUGGGCGGCUUGAGUGCCGGAGAGGCAAGUGGAAUUCCUAGUGUAGCGGUGAAAUGCGUAGAUAUUAGGAGGAACCCCAGUGGCGAAGGCGGCUUGCUGGACGAGGACUGACGUUGAGGCUCGAAAGCGUGGGGAGCAAACAGGAUUAGAUACCCGAGUAGUC
Molecule: ribosomal RNA, 440 nt
Filed under: uncultured bacterium
Lineage: Bacteria
Description: partial 16S ribosomal RNA
Rfam family: Bacterial small subunit ribosomal RNA
Source: RNAcentral